RNAcentral lists this ribosomal RNA (468 nucleotides) under uncultured bacterium. Its description in RNAcentral is "partial 16S ribosomal RNA". It matches the Rfam family "Bacterial small subunit ribosomal RNA", at positions 28 to 507 of the family's 1533-position model. The record is from RNAcentral.
GACGAACGCUGGCGGCGUGCUUAACACAUGUAAGUCGAACGGAAAGGCCCUGCUUUUGUGGGGUGCUCGAGUGGCGAACGGGUGAGUAACACGUGAGUAACCUGCCCUUGACUUUGGGAUAACUUCAGGAAACUGGGGCUAAUACCGGAUAGGAGCUCCUGCUGCAUGGGGGGGGUUGGAAAGUUCGGGCGGUUGGGGAUGGACUGCCGGCUUACCUGCUGGUUGGUGGGGUAGUGCCUUACCAAGGCUUGGACGGGUGGCCGGCCUGGGGGGGUGACCGGCAAAAUUGGGACUGAGAUCCGGCCAAGACUCCUACGGGAGGAAGAAGUGGGGAAUAUUGCAAAAUGGGCGGAAGCCUGAUGAAGCAACGCCGCGUGCGGGAUGACGGCCUUCGGGUUGUAAACCGCUUUCGCCUGUGACGAAGCGUGAGUGACGGUAAUGGGUAAAGAAGCACCGGCUAACUACGUG